Molecule: ribosomal RNA, 372 nt
Filed under: uncultured organism
Description: bacterial SSU rRNA
Rfam family: Bacterial small subunit ribosomal RNA
Source: RNAcentral
CAUGGGGUGCAAACGUUGCUCGGAAUUAUUGGGCGUAAAGCGCGCGUAGGCGGUUAUCUAAGUUGGACGUGAAAGCCCUCGGCUUAACUGAGGAAGUGCACCCAAAACUGGAUAGCUGGAGUACGAAAGAGGGUCGCGGAAUUCCCGGUGUAGAGGUGAAAUUCGUAGAUAUCGGGAGGAACACCGGUGGCGAAGGCGGCGACCUGGGUCGAGACUGACGCUGAGGCGCGAAAGCGUGGGGAGCAAACAGGAUUAGAUACCCUGGUAGUCCACGCCGUAAACGAUGGGUGCUAGAUGUUUCUGGUAUUGACCCCGGAGGCGUCGUAGCUAACGCGUUAAGCACCCCGCCUGGGGAGUACGGCCGCAAGGCUA